AGCGUAGACGGCGAAGCAAGUCUGAAGUGAAAGCCCGGGGCUUAACCCCGGGACUGCUUUGGAAACUGUUUUGCUAGAGUGCUGGAGAGGUAAGUGGAAUUCCUAGUGUAGCGGUGAAAUGCGUAGAUAUUAGGAGGAACACCAGUGGCGAAGGCGGCUUACUGGACAGUAACUGACGUUGAGGCUCGAAAGCGUGGGGAGCAAACA
RNAcentral lists this ribosomal RNA (207 nucleotides) under uncultured bacterium. RNAcentral's name for it is "partial 16S ribosomal RNA". It matches the Rfam family "Bacterial small subunit ribosomal RNA", at positions 568 to 774 of the family's 1533-position model. The record is from RNAcentral.